This 467-nucleotide ribosomal RNA is filed under the name Propionibacterium sp. DP-2010. RNAcentral describes it as "bacterial SSU rRNA". It matches the Rfam family "Bacterial small subunit ribosomal RNA", at positions 27 to 504 of the family's 1533-position model. Lineage: Bacteria; Bacillati; Actinomycetota; Actinomycetes; Propionibacteriales; Propionibacteriaceae. The record is from RNAcentral.
GGACGAACGCUGGCGGCGUGCUUAACACAUGCAAGUCGAACGGUAAGGCCCUUUCGGGGGUACACGAGUGGCGAACGGGUGAGUAACACGUGAGUAACCUGCCCAUCACUUCGGGAUAACGCUGGGAACUGGUGCUAAUACCGGAUAUGAGCUCCUGCUGCAUGGUGGGGGUUGGAAAGUUCUGGCGGUGGUGGAUGGACUCGCGUCCUAUCAGCUUGUUGGUGAGGUUGUGGCUCACCAAGGCGUCGACGGGUGCCGGCCUGAGAGGGUGACCGGCCACAUUGGGACUGAGAUACGGCCCAGACUCCUACGGGAGGCAGCAGUGGGGAAUAUUGCACAAUGGGCGAAAGCCUGAUGCAGCAACGCCGCGUGCGGGAUGACGCCUUCGGGUUGUAAACCGCUUUCACCAGGGACGAAGGGCCUUUCGGGGUUUGACGGUACCUGGAGAAGAAGCACCGGCUAACUAC